GCACAAGCGGUGGAGUAUGUGGUUUAAUUCGAUGCAACGCGAAAACCUUACCUGCCCUUGACAUCCUCGGAACUUUCCAGAGAUGGAUUGGUGCUCGAAAGAGAGCCGUAACACAGGUGCUGCAUGGCUGUCGUCAGCUCGUGUCGUGAGAUGUUGGGUUAAGUCCCGCAACGAGCGCAACCCUUGCCAUUAAUUGCCAUCAUUCAGUUGGGCACUUUAAUGGGACUGCCGGUGACAAACCGGAGGAAGGUGGGGAUGACGUCAAGUCCUCAUGGCCCUUAUGGCCAGGGCUUCACACGUAAUACAAUGGUCGGUACAGAGGGUUGCCAACCCGCGAGGGGGAGCCAAUCCCAGAAAGCCGAUCGUAGUCCGGAUUGCAGUCUGCAACUCGACUGCAUGAAGUCGGAAUCGCUAGUAAUCGCGGAUCAGCAUGUCGCGGUGAAUACGUUCCCGGGCCUU
Molecule: ribosomal RNA, 459 nt
Filed under: uncultured Methylophilaceae bacterium
Lineage: Bacteria; Pseudomonadati; Pseudomonadota; Betaproteobacteria; Nitrosomonadales; Methylophilaceae
Description: bacterial SSU rRNA
Rfam family: Bacterial small subunit ribosomal RNA
Source: RNAcentral